RNAcentral lists this ribosomal RNA (254 nucleotides) under uncultured bacterium. RNAcentral describes it as "partial 16S ribosomal RNA". It matches the Rfam family "Bacterial small subunit ribosomal RNA", at positions 524 to 776 of the family's 1533-position model. The record is from RNAcentral.
GACGUAGGAGGCAAGCGUUGUCCGGAGUCAUUGGGCGUAAAGGGCGCGUAGGUGGCCCGGUCAGUUCGUGGUGAAAGCGCGGGGCUCAACCCUGCGUCGGCCAUGAAUACUGCCGCGGCUGGAGCACUGUAGAGGCAGGCGGAAUUCCGGGUGUAGCGGUGGAAUGCGUAGAGAUCCGGAAGAACACCGGUGGCGAAGGCGGCCUGCUGGGCAGUUGCUGACACUGAGGCGCGACAGCGUGGGGAGCAAACAGG